This 71-nucleotide transfer RNA is filed under the name Camelus bactrianus (Bactrian camel). It matches the Rfam family "tRNA". Rfam says of the family: Transfer RNA (tRNA) molecules are approximately 80 nucleotides in length. The record is from Rfam by way of RNAcentral. RNAcentral also lists the same sequence under 1 other name. Lineage: Eukaryota; Metazoa; Chordata; Mammalia; Artiodactyla; Camelidae.
GAGGGUGUAGCUCAGUGGCAGAGCGCGUGCUUAGCAUGCACAAGGUCCUGGGUUCAAUCCCAGAACUGCCA